Numida meleagris (helmeted guineafowl) is the source of this 177-nucleotide unclassified non-coding RNA. The record is from Ensembl. Lineage: Eukaryota; Metazoa; Chordata; Aves; Galliformes; Numididae.
GUGAGAGUCACAGAGACUAAUGACCUCUGUUUAAUGACAAAUGGGAACAACGUUGGGAAUAUCAGAAGAGGCUGCUCCUCACUGAUUAAACAACAUGCUCUAAGCCCAGCUGAGAUAGCUCAUUUGCAAGGGUGAGAGGUGAAUUCAGCUUUCAUGUCUAUUUAGUCUUUGAUAUAU